Molecule: long non-coding RNA, 207 nt
Filed under: Brassica rapa (field mustard)
Lineage: Eukaryota; Viridiplantae; Streptophyta; Magnoliopsida; Brassicales; Brassicaceae
Description: long non-coding RNA (BRAP_LNC008083)
Source: RNAcentral
ACCAUCUAUCCAACAUCAUCUAUCCAUCUUCCAUCAUCAAACAUCUAUCCAUAAACCAUUCCAUCCCCUUUUAUCUUUUAGUUCCUGUGAUUAUUUUCAUUAAUCGUAAACUCAUUGUUUCUCUUUGUUUUCAGGUUAGUUUGGAUAGAAAGGGCUAGCAAGUCGGCCAACUUCACCAUCUUCCCGUCCGAUCUCAUCCUUAUCGAU